UCGGCCUACGGGAGGCAGCAGUAGGGAAUUUUCGUCAAUGGGCGCAAGCCUGAACGAGCAAUGCCGCGUGAACGAGGAAGGUCUUCGGAUCGUAAAGUUCUGUUGAAGGGGAAAAAGAGCGGUGAGAGGCAAUGUUCUCCGAUUGCUAUUACCCUUCGAGGAAGUCACGGCUAACUACGUGCCCGCAGCCGCGGUAAUACGUAGGUGGCGAGCGUUAUCCGGAAUGUUUGGGCGUAA
Molecule: ribosomal RNA, 237 nt
Filed under: uncultured bacterium
Lineage: Bacteria
Description: partial 16S ribosomal RNA
Rfam family: Bacterial small subunit ribosomal RNA
Source: RNAcentral